This 440-nucleotide ribosomal RNA is filed under the name uncultured bacterium. Its description in RNAcentral is "bacterial SSU rRNA". It matches the Rfam family "Bacterial small subunit ribosomal RNA", at positions 338 to 771 of the family's 1533-position model. The record is from RNAcentral.
CCUACGGGUGGCAGCAGUCGAGAAUUUUUCUCAAUAGGGGGAACCCUGAAGGAGCGACGCCGCGUGGAGGAUGAAGGCUUUCGGGUUGUAAACUCCUGUCAUUAGGGAACAAUUGUCAGCGAUUAACUGUCGCGGACUUGAUAGUACCUGAAGAGGAAGGGACGGCUAACUCUGUGCCAGCAGCCGCGGUAAUACAGAGGUCCCAAGCGUUGUUCGGAUUCAUUGGGCGUAAAGGGUGCGUAGGUGGUAGACUAAGUCGGAUGUGAAAUCCCAGGGCUCAACCUUGGAACUGCAUUCGAUACUGGCCUGCUUGAGGACUGGAGAGGAGAUUGGAAUUCAUGGUGUAGCAGUGAAAUGCGUAGAUAUCAUGAGGAAGACCAGUGGCGAAGGCGGAUCUCUGGACAGUUCCUGACACUGAGGCACGAAGGCUAGGGGAGCAA